Non-coding RNA from Aegilops tauschii subsp. strangulata, 1573 nucleotides. Lineage: Eukaryota; Viridiplantae; Streptophyta; Magnoliopsida; Poales; Poaceae. The record is from RefSeq and is a predicted model, not a curated record.
AUAUCGCAAACCCUACAAGUUUAGGAGCCCGUGCAUUGCUGCAUUUUUCAUUUGUGUGGGUACGUUUUAUAUCAUCAACACUUUUGUAAUCAUAAGAUGCAUUUUUCAUUUGUGUGCAUAAUCUUUAUAUAAUCUUGGAGUACGCUUUUGGUACUAAUAUUAUGUUCUAUGCUCAAUGAAGAGUUUAUCCAUGGGUACCCUAUCAAUGGUGCUGGAUUCUGUUAAGACCUUACAUGGUUAUUGGCUUGCUAGUCUCACCAAGACAUAGAUGACACCCAAAGUUGAGGAAUAUCUGGAUGAUCAUCAAAUACCGGUGAGCCCCAAAUAUCAUUUCCCUUAAGAAAUAUUAUUUCUUUUCAAUAUUCCACUCUUUUUUAAUUAUUAUAUCUGAUAUGUAUUUGGAAGAUAUGGUAGGUAUAUGAAUAUUAUGACAUCCGGCAACAAGUAAUUAUAAUGGGUGCGCUCAUCAAAAAAAAAAUGUAAUAGUAGGUGCACAUGCGUAGUAAUCCAGCAGCUUCCGAUCCAAGCACAACAUGUAGCGACAACACCCACCGCCCACUUCCCACUACGUGCCCCCCUUAUCCACACAACACAUUGAUUCUUCUACAUCCACCUGAUGCUGUCCCUUCUCUUCUUCUCUAUCAGGGCAGCAUCAACCCCCUCUUCUCUGUCGGUGAGGAACUCCACUAGAGAUUGCGUUUUGGAGCUCCCUCUACUGUCGCUCGAUCUGGCCUCCCCCGCUCAGUUGUUGCCCCAUGCUCCGGAUCAUGCCACAGCAGGCCUCGCCCUGACCAACAGGCUCGGAUCCAUCCCUUCCCUCCUCCUGGCCUCCACAUGCGUAGACUGUGGCGCCAGAUCAAGGGAGCCUGCCAAUGGAGGUCGCCGCCUCUCCGUCUCGAUCGGUCCGCCGCCGGAUCCACCAUGCUGUGCCAUGGGAUGGGCGCCUUGCAGCUAGCUCCUCUGCCGUCGCCUGAUCUGCCUGCCCCCGGUCGUGCUCCAGAUUCGGCUAACAGCCUCGCCUCUGACCCGAUUCAGACAUGCACCCACACAGCCUCACUCCGCCACCUGCGCCCCAGGUCUGACCGAUCCUGCGCCGCUCAUCCUUGCUUCUUUUUUUAAGUCAACCCCGCUGUUUCUUUUGCUCGCAGCUUGCGAGGAGGCCAGGCCGCGCCUCGUCUAGCUGCGGCCUACCUGUUGUGUCAGUCAGCCCAGCCGCCUCGACCCGGCCUUCUCCGCCCCCAGCUCCAGGCCUCAAACAACUCCCACUUUUUGGAAAUCGCGGGUCCUCCGUCGAGCGAGGGGUGCCGGUGGUGGUGGUGUUCGCUCGGUGGACUUUGUUCCAUUUUCUUCGCUCCUUCACGCUUUGUCUAUUCCUUCUGUUCCCUUUCUCUGCUUGUUUUGAUUUCUAAUGUGGCUUGCUGGUUCUCAUGGCAACUCUCGUACACAUAUAGAUUGGUGAGAAUAUAUGUAUAUCAGCGAGGCGGGACAAUUUAAUUGAAGAACAAACUAUGUACAAAGCUCGUUGUAUCUGAAUUUAGCCACCUAAAAAGGACAGCGGGUUGAAUAAUUAAAA